Molecule: ribosomal RNA, 253 nt
Filed under: uncultured bacterium
Lineage: Bacteria
Description: partial 16S ribosomal RNA
Rfam family: Bacterial small subunit ribosomal RNA
Source: RNAcentral
UACGUAGGUGGCAAGCGUUGUCCGGAUUUAUUGGGUUUAAAGGGUGCGUAGGUGGUCUAUUAAGUCAGUGCUGAAAUAUCCCGGCUUAACCGGGAGGGUGGCAUUGAUACUGAUGGACUUGAGUAGAGUUGAGGUAGGCGGAAUUGACGGUGUAGCGGUGAAAUGCUUAGAUAUCGUCAAGAACACCGAUAGCGAAGGCAGCUUACUAAGCUCAAACUGACGCUGAGGCACGAAAGUGUGGGGAUCAAACAGG